GCCUACUUCUCCUCCUGCUUCCUCUCCUCGAUUUCAUCUUCGUCUCCACCGCAGCACAAAACCGGCCACCUUACACUCCCACUGAGUCGAUACUCAUCAACUGUGGUGCAUCAUCUGAUGAUGCAUCACAGGAUGGAAGGCGUUGGAAUGGUGAUGCCCAGUCCAAGUUCUGCCCCUUCAACUCUCAAACAUCCCCACUGUCUGAAGCCUCUCAACAAGGCCACUCUGUUGACCGUGUACCUUAUAUGACAGCCCGAAUAAUUCACUCCAAACUCACCUGCACUUUCCCUGUCUUGCCUGGUCCAAAAUUUGUCC
RNAcentral lists this unclassified non-coding RNA (315 nucleotides) under Hevea brasiliensis (rubber tree). The record is from RNAcentral. Lineage: Eukaryota; Viridiplantae; Streptophyta; Magnoliopsida; Malpighiales; Euphorbiaceae.